UGAUGAAGCGUGCAGCAUUUCCAUGCAUGGUGGCAUCCACUACCUCUGAGUCAUCAAUUCGGAACAUAUAGCAACCAAUGCCCUGUACAUGCAGGAGAAAGGAGAAUAACUUGUCAUUUCUUAUAAACUCAGGUUUAAGAACAGUUCCCAAUCUUCUCUUGAUAUUACCUACAGCUGCUGAUAAAGUUUCUUCUAGUAAAAUUCCCAGAUUUCUCCCAGUACCUAUCUUUCAAGAUGCUUCCGUGAGGAGUUCCUAGAUUACAGGCCACUAGUCUAGAGGCUUCUAAUGUCUCUGCGGGAAACAGAAACCUAAAACUUGAAUAGCUAUUUGCUUCUGAUACCAGGAGCCACUCAGACAGACCUCUAAGAGUAACUUUCUAUGCUAAUCCUCAGAGUGGAUUCUGUAUUUUUACUGGGCCCCUCACGAAUUUCAGUUGUUUUUUUUUUUUUUUAAAUUAACAUCUUCGAAUUGGUAACAUACACUAUUUCUUUUGGGAUCCAGGGAUCAUACUGGUCCCUUUCUACAGCAAAACAAAAGAACUGGGUGAGUGCAAGUGGGAGACUUACCUUGCUGUCGUAAUACUUUUCCCGCUUGUCAGUCUGGAUGGAGCGGAUGACGUUGCCGGCAUACUCAAUUACCAUCUCACCUGCAUCAAUGUUUCUCUUACAGAAAAGACCCCGGCCAUGGAUGGGAGACCUAGGACAAAGAUUGAAAAGAGGCACCUACUGCUACUUCAACACAAAUGGAUUUCAGUCUUCUUAAAUCUUAUCCAGGAAAUUCUGAUGCAAACACAUUCCUACAUAGUGCCCUGACCAGCUGGAGGAGAGGGAAAGCAGUUUCUAAUGACUGCACCCCACUCAAGACUUACCGAGCUGACUUCAGCUGUACCUCCUCCUCUUCUUCAUCAUUGGGGUUGUAUUCAGGAGGCUGACGAUGUUUAGAAGCCAGGAAGUUAAACAUGUCAAAUGCUGACUUCCUGGGGCCAAAAGAUGAAAAAGUAUUUACAGAAAUGCUUUAAUAAAGCAGUAAAGGACGAUGGCAUUAACACUGGAAAUCUCAAAGGGUAUGUGGGAAGACGACUGUGUCACGAGAUAAGAAAAUCGAGAUCCAAAACUGCUGACAGAAAAGAAGGGAACUUGCCUGAGGUGGACUUCAGCCCGGGCUGAGCCAUGAGGGUUCAAGGGGGGUUCAUUGGCCUCCUCUGGCUUGUGGAAACGGAAUUUGUAAUUUCGACAGUGCUUGGCACCAGACAGCUGCUCAAUGAGGAACACAACUGCAUCAUGGAGAAUCCCCAGCAUCCUCAAACCAUUAACACCUAGAAGAAUCAGAAGCACUAGGGCAGUGAGGAGUGCAGUCAACAGGAAACAGCACAGUCCUACAGAAAUGCCUAUGCUACAGUCGCUCUGCCAGAGGUUACUCCAGGGUGAAUUAUAGUACAUAUUACCUCGAAAUUAGCAUCAGAUAGCCAUUAAAAUGAUGCUGAUA
Molecule: non-coding RNA, 1486 nt
Organism: Macaca mulatta (Rhesus monkey)
Lineage: Eukaryota; Metazoa; Chordata; Mammalia; Primates; Cercopithecidae
Source: RefSeq, a predicted model, not a curated record